RNAcentral lists this ribosomal RNA (440 nucleotides) under Rhodosorus marinus. RNAcentral's name for it is "partial Bacterial large subunit ribosomal RNA". It matches the Rfam family "Bacterial large subunit ribosomal RNA", at positions 1165 to 1709 of the family's 2925-position model. The record is from RNAcentral. Lineage: Eukaryota; Rhodophyta; Stylonematophyceae; Stylonematales; Stylonemataceae.
CGAAAAUGUAACGGGGCUCAAGUGAUGCACCGAAGCUUAGGGUGUGAUCGUUUACGAUCACGCGGUAGCGGAGCGUUCCGUAGGCUGAUGAAGCGAUCUGGUAAUGGGUCGUGGAGGUAUCGGAAGUGCGAAUGCAGACAUGAGUAGCGAUAAAGAGGGUGAGAUGCCCUCUCGCCGAAAGACCAAGGGUUCCUGCGCAAGGCUAAUCCGCGCAGGGUGAGCCGGCCCCUAAGACGAGCCCGAAGGGGGUAGUCGAUGGGAACCACGUUAAUAUUCGUGGGCCAGAUGGAAGUGACGGAUCUCGAAGAUUGUUCCUCCUUAUCGGAUUGGAGGGGCCGUUCAGAGGUUCCUGGAAAUAGCUCCAUCAUCAGACCGUACCCUAAACCGACACAGGUGGACUGGUAGAGAAUACCAAGGCGCUUGAGAGAACUAUGUUGAAG